This 443-nucleotide ribosomal RNA is filed under the name uncultured bacterium. RNAcentral describes it as "bacterial SSU rRNA". It matches the Rfam family "Bacterial small subunit ribosomal RNA", at positions 935 to 1375 of the family's 1533-position model. The record is from RNAcentral.
GGGCUCGACUCGCGAUGCUCUAGAUUACGCGAAGAACCCUUACCUAGGCUUGAAAUGCAGUAGACCGGGUAUGAAAGUACCCUUCCCUUCGGGGCUGCUGUACAGGUGCUGCAUGGCUGUCGUCAGCUCGUGCCGUGAGGUGUUGGGUUAAGUCUCGCAACGAGCGCAACCCUUACUAUUAGUUGCCAUCAGGUUAUGCUGGGCACUCUAAUGGGACUGCCUACGCAAGUAGUGAGGAAGGUGGGGAUGACGUCAAGUCAGCAUGGCCCUUACGCCUAGGGCUACACACGUGCUACAAUGGGUGCUACAACGGGUAGCUAAACCGCGAGGUGGAGCCAAUCCCUUAAAGGCACCCCCAGUUCGGAUUGGAGUCUGCAACCCGACUCCAUGAAGUUGGAAUUGCUAGUAAUCGCGUAUCAGCGCGACGCGGUGAAUACGUUCCC